RNAcentral lists this long non-coding RNA (379 nucleotides) under Mytilus galloprovincialis (Mediterranean mussel). The record is from RNAcentral. Lineage: Eukaryota; Metazoa; Mollusca; Bivalvia; Mytilida; Mytilidae.
UCGUUGUUAGAAUAAAGUACAAAGAAGUUCUGAAGGAUUUGCCCUCAACUGCAAUUAUAUUGUAUGCUGGCGAAACAAAACUAUCCAUAGCCGCUGCAUGUUUAUGCACCUGUCCUGAUUGAUUCAGGGGUCUGUCGUUCAGCAGUUGUCGUUUGUUGAUGCGGUUCAUUGGUAUUUUCCCGUUUUCCGGUUUGGAUAUAUAAAUUAGAUCGUUGGUUUUCCUGUUCGAAUUAUGUACACUAAUUAUUUUAGGGUCCUUUAUAGCUUGCUGUUUGAUGACGGUCUGGAUCAAAGCCCUGUGUAAAAGGCCGUACUUUGACCUGUGUUUGUCAUUAUCAGAUUGGGAGCAACCCUCCCUCAGACAAGGGGUCAUUUUACU